AUGCUAUGUUGUCGUGAGGCAAUAAAUAUGAUGUGGAACCAACCUCGAGGUCGUCACAUAUUUAACAUUGAUGAUGGAAGGCCAACCCCAAGGUUUGCAGCUUAUGGUGCAACGAAGAGAAGUGUGGUGCACCUUACAAAGUCUCUACAGGUAAAGCCUGGCAUGGUUACGACUGAUCUUCUUAUGUCUGGUGCUACCGCAAAGCAAGCAAAGUUUUUCAUCAAUAUAUUAGCUGAAACUCCUGAUGUGGUUGCGGAUUACCUUGUUCCAAACAUCAGAGAAAUCCCUACCAAGCAAUCCAUGAAGCCGACUUACAUUCGCUUUCUCACAGGCUUGAAAGCCUACUCCAGAAUAUUUUCAAGAAUUGCUUUUGGUGCUCGUAGGAACAAGUAUGUUGCCGAGGAUUAG
RNAcentral lists this ribosomal RNA (408 nucleotides) under Triticum aestivum (bread wheat). RNAcentral describes it as "partial small subunit ribosomal RNA". The record is from RNAcentral. Lineage: Eukaryota; Viridiplantae; Streptophyta; Magnoliopsida; Poales; Poaceae.